This 541-nucleotide unclassified non-coding RNA is filed under the name uncultured Bartonella sp. RNAcentral describes it as "partial 16S-23S ribosomal RNA intergenic spacer". The stretch from base 126 to 199 matches the Rfam family "tRNA". The record is from RNAcentral. Lineage: Bacteria; Pseudomonadati; Pseudomonadota; Alphaproteobacteria; Hyphomicrobiales; Bartonellaceae.
GUAGCUCUCAUCAAAGCUUUAAGGAAAGCUCUUUGUUUUUUGAAAUGAUGCUUUUAUGAGAUAGAGCUUUUUUAGAUAAUGCUUUUUUAGAUAAUGCUGGGGAAGGUUUUCCGGUUUAUCUCGGAGGGCUUGUAGCUCAGUUGGUUAGAGCGCGCGCUUGAUAAGCGUGAGGUCGGAGGUUCAAGUCCUCCCAGGCCCACCAAUUUACCUAUCCAUUUGCCUUUAUCCGUUUAUUUGCCGAUUUAUCGGUCUAUUGAAUUUAAGUGUUGGUAGCAGUUUUUAUAAUGAUGAGAAAUCAUGCUUAUAAAAGAACUCCUUAUAAAAGGCUUGUUUUUAAAAUGUGACGCUUAUCCAUUUCGCUUAGGCAAGAGAAACUUCAAGCGGUUCAAAUGCAAAAGGCUUUAAAUUUUGCAAAACACUUUGAAUUUUAAAGUGAUCCAAGUUCGUGAUCUCGAAUUUAAAAGUUUCGAAUGCUUUAUCCUUUUUUGGGGGCCGUAGCUCAGCUGGGAGAGCACCUGCUUUGCAAGCAGGGGGCGUCGGU